AUGUUUGCAGCUCAACGAUGUUUCCCAGCAUGCCAUUUUAAGGAAAGAAGAUUUCCUUGUAACCCCUUCCAAUCUGAACAGCCCGGCUGCCUUCCAGGAAGACGUUCCUGGCUAUUUGGAGCCAUCUGGCAGAUGGCUGCUUUGGUUCACAUCUUUUUCUUGGUGGUUUCAGAGAGAAGACUCCUCCUGGGAACCUUCACGUGUGACUGCAGGAAGCAGAUCCAUUUGCAUUUGCCUGACCUGAUGGGGAAGCACAUGGAAGAUGGCAUCGAAGGAUAUGGGCUCUCCCUAGUGCUGGAAGCAAUGAGAUCAGCUCUUCUUUGGUGGUGGUCCUUCAAUUCAAUAUGGCACGCAUGACGCAAUGGAAAGAAAACUGGAUUUGGAGUUAGAGAAACUGGAUCCAUACCUGCCACUCGCUUUCGGGUUCUUUGUGAGGUGAGGGGUUGGAGGAACAGACUCCGAAGGGGGUCCUCCUGAGCUCUGGAGCUAGUAUGAACUCACGCAUUUCUUGUUUGUUGUUCUGCCUAGGUCCGGAAGCCCUUUCUUGUAACAGGACUGCGCUCAAGCCAUUCUCU
This 575-nucleotide long non-coding RNA is filed under the name Monodelphis domestica (gray short-tailed opossum). Its description in RNAcentral is "lncRNA (ENSMODG00000050707.1)". The record is from RNAcentral. Lineage: Eukaryota; Metazoa; Chordata; Mammalia; Didelphimorphia; Didelphidae.